AGUUACACUUAGAGCUAGUUAUGUUAUAAAUUAUAAUAAAUUAAUAAUUAUUAUAAUUAUAAUGAUAAUCUGUGGGCCUGUGGAGUGUGGGCUGUGGCAACUACCAAAUAUCCGUGGAUACGUAAGCUUUGAUGGACGAGGUUUAUAAAGUUGUUGCCGAUGAUCCAAAGUUGCCAGUGACAAGUUAACUAUGAAAAUUCAGAAAAUUAAAUGUAGUAAAAAAUCGUCUACGAUGUUCUUUAAAUCAAGACCACCUUGAAGCAUUCAUACAAUCAUACUAACGGAAGAAUGAGAUAUUUUGUAUGUUAUUGAUUUAAAAUAUUAAAUAAAUACUGAAUAUUAUACUGAAAAA
Molecule: long non-coding RNA, 352 nt
Organism: Acyrthosiphon pisum (pea aphid)
Lineage: Eukaryota; Metazoa; Arthropoda; Insecta; Hemiptera; Aphididae
Exons: 2
Source: RefSeq, a predicted model, not a curated record